AGAAGUGUGCCCGAAACAUAAGGACUAUUUUGAUAAAAUAGGCACAGAGCCCCCUGAUCUCUCACUUCUA
RNAcentral lists this transfer RNA (70 nucleotides) under Diploderma flaviceps. RNAcentral's name for it is "tRNA-Ile". Lineage: Eukaryota; Metazoa; Chordata; Lepidosauria; Squamata; Agamidae. The record is from RNAcentral.